GGGUUGCAGUGAAAUGGUGGCUGCGACUGUUUAAUAAAAACACAGCACUCUGCAAACACGAAAGUGGACGUAUAGGGUGUGACGCCUGCCCGGUGCCGGAAGGUUAAUUGAUGGGGUGCAAGCUCUUGAUCGAAGCCCCGGUAAACGGCGGCCGUAACUAUAACGGUCCUAAGGUAGCGAAAUUCCUUGUCGGGUAAGUUCCGACCUGCACGAAUGGCGUAACGAUGGCCACACUGUCUCCUCCUGAGACUCAGCGAAGUUGAAAUGGUUGUGAAGAUGCAAUCUCCCCGCGGUUAGACGGAAAGACCCCAUGAACCUUUACUGUAGCUUUGCAUUGGACUUUGAACCGACCUGUGUAGGAUAGGUGGGAGGCUGUGAAUCCGGGACGCUAGUUCUGGUGGAGCCAACCUUGAAAUACCACCCUGGUUUGUUUGAGGUUCUAACCACGGCCCGUGAAUCCGGGUCUGGGACCGUGCAUGGUAGGCAGUUUGACUGGGGCGGUCUCCUCCUAAAGUGUAACGGAGGAGUACGAAGGUACGCUAGGUACGGUCGGAAAUCGUGCUGAUAGUGCAAUGGCAAAAGCGUGCUUGACUGCGAGACCCACACGUCGAGCAGGUACGAAAGUAGGUCAUAGUGAUCCGGUGGUUCUGUAUGGAAGGGCCAUCGCUCAACGGAUAAAAGGUACUCUGGGGAUAACAGGCUGAUACCGCCCAAGAGUUCAUAUCGACGGCGGUGUUUGGCACCUCGAUGUCGGCUCAUCACAUCCUGGGGCUGUAGUCGGUCCCAAGGGUAUGGCUGUUCGCCAUUUAAAGUGGUACGUGAGCUGGGUUUAAAACGUCGUGAGACAGUUUGGUCCCUAUCUGCCGUGGGCGCUGGAAAUUUGAAGGGGGCUGCUCCUAGUACGAGAGGACCGGAGUGGACGAACCUCUGGUGUACCGGUUAUGACGCCAGUCGUAUCGCCGGGUAGCUAAGUUCGGAAGAGAUAAACGCUGAAAGCAUCUAAGCGUGAAACUCGCCUUAAGAUGAGAUUUCCCCGGGGACUCGAUCCCCCUAAAGGGUCGUGGUAGACCACCACGUUGAUAGGCUGGAUGUGGAAGCGCAGCAAUGCGUUAAGCUAACCAGUACUAAUCGCCCGUGCGGCUUGAUCCU
Molecule: ribosomal RNA, 1149 nt
Filed under: bioreactor sludge metagenome
Description: bacterial LSU rRNA
Rfam family: Bacterial large subunit ribosomal RNA
Source: RNAcentral